RNAcentral lists this long non-coding RNA (5742 nucleotides) under Olea europaea subsp. europaea. Lineage: Eukaryota; Viridiplantae; Streptophyta; Magnoliopsida; Lamiales; Oleaceae. The record is from RNAcentral.
UCCACACCAAAGCACCCUACACUAUACCACACUACAUCACUCCACUAGAACAAACCCCUCUUUCUCUCAACCAGCCCUAAACUGCCACCUGCCCUAUGGAGCCGCCAUCCUCACUCCACCCUGAACCACUACCUAAAUCAUGAGAGUCCUCACCUACUGUCGACAAAAUCACCUCCUAAACAAACCCCCACCUUCGAUUGGCCCCACAAAACCAUGCAGGGGCCAAAUAUCUACAAGAACCCUAAAUCAUACAACCCACGACCUAUUGUCGACGGAAUCACCUCCCAAACACAACCGCCACAUUCAAUUAGCCCAACAACACCAUGUGAAAUGUCCAAGAAAAGCUUUGCGUUCACAAAUUGUAAAUCCAAAAACCUUGAAUAUGUUAUGGUGAUGGCAGGAAGAGAUGAACAAUCGAGCUGGGAUGGAAAAGGGAAGAGAAGUACCAGACCAAGGAAGAAGGAAGAAGAAGAAAUUCCAAUGGCCAACUGAUUUUGGAAUCCACAGAUGAUGUCGUUUGGUUAAAUGAGAUACGCCGUCGUUUUGAUUUUUGAGUCUAAAAUUGUAAAUGGACAAACACAUUUUUGACAAACACGUUUUGUUUCCUUUGUUGCACAAUUUUGGGAUCUGUUAGAAACAGAUCCAACGAGGGAAAGAGAGGUUGGUAUAUGAAAUUUCUCUUAUGGAUUAUCUCUUUCUUUCUUUCUUUCUUUUUUUCUUCUUCUCCAAUGUAUUGUCUUCAUUUCGUAGUGUAAACAUUAAUGGCUUCAAUUAAUCUUUUGGGUGUUGAGUUUUAUUUAAUUUCUAGUUAAUUAUUGUGUUUGAUUGUAUCUCAGGUUGAGAUUUGAAGCUCAACCAUAACAAAUUGGUAUCAGAGCAGCUACAUGAACUGGGUAUGUCGGAAAACUAAAAGAAAAUCAAAUGAGGAGCAAUUUAGGAGAUUGGACAAAGAAAUAUCAACUUUGGGUGUCUGUUAAAACAAAUGACCAGUUGCUACAGGUUGUUUGUACUAGACAAGACCGGAUGGAGCAAAUGAUGGGAGAAAUGAAGGCUACACAAGAGUCUAUGGCGUUGAUGUUAGCUCAAUUAAUUGGGAGUAAGGCUGAUCACAAAGAAAAAGAAGUAGAAUGAUAUAGGCCACCAUCUCAAACCAAUGGAGGUAGCCCUAGAAGAAAUAAAAUUACCUCCAGUAAUUCUAGCGGAAACAAAGAAGCUAGGAUGGUGACCAGACUACCCAAGAUAGACUUCACUUAUUUUAAUGAGGAAGGGGCCAGAGAGUAGCUGAGGAAGUUAAGCAAGUAUUUCCAUAUCCAUCAAGUAGAGGAUGAAAUGAAGUUGGGCAUAGCUGAGAUGUAUCUCAAAGGAAAGGCAGACAUAUGGUUCCAUUGCUUUAUCUCCAACCAUCCUAAUAUUGAUUGGGGCAUGUUUUCCAAAGAGAUUUGCAAAAAAACAUGGCUGAAGAAGUGAUAGAAACCUUUAGCAAACUAAGGCAAGGAGGAACCAUUGCAGAAUAUUAGGAACAGUUUGAAGAAUUGAAAUCCCAAGUGACGAUUUCCCUACCUCUCUUACUAGAAUCCUACUAUAUUUCAAUAUUCAUCAAUAAUUUGAAGGAUGAGAUCAAAUCCAUGGUUAAAAUUAUGCAACCCCCAACCUUAGCCAAAGCUUUUGAGAUUGCUUUACUUCAAGAAAAUUCCAUCACAGCCCUUAAUAAAGGUCUAAAAACCUUCAAAGCAUAUCCCCAAACAAAAUGAUCUCACCCCAGUCCUAGUCCAAAUGAACCUCCAACUAAACCUACACCAUACAGCAAACCAAACCCAAAGAAAUCCUCCAGUCCAUUGAAAUUCUAAGAUAUCACCCCGUUUGACUUCCAAACAAAAAAAGAGUUAGGAUUAUGUUAUCAAUAUGAUGAAAAGUAUAGUAGGGGUCAUGUGUGCAAAAAUAAGAUUCUCAAUUUCAUAUUGGUGGAUAAAAGGGUGGAAGGGGAGUUAGAUGAACCUCCAUGGGAGAAAAUGGAUCAAGCGGAGAAAGGAGAACUAGAGAAGAUAAUGGGAAUCUCCAUCUAUGCAUUGAUGGGCAACAACAGAGCAAAAACCAUCAGGCUACUAGGGAUGAUCAAAAAGAGAAAAGUGUCUAUAUUAAUUGAUAGUUGGAGUACCCACAGUUUCAUUUAUGAAACCUUGGUAAAAAAUAUCAACUCCUAGAUGCAGCCAGCAACACUUACUUCAAUUAUUGUGGCAGGAGGUGAGAAACUCAUUAGUAAGGCAAUUUGUAAUCCACUGAUAUGGAAGAUGCAAGAUCUAGAAUUCCAAUACCAGCUGAGGAUAUUGAAAUUAGGAGGCAAUGAUAUGGUCUUGGAGGUGGAUUGACUAAGUCAGUUCAACCCUGUGUUAUUUGAUUUUCUGAGAGGCAACAAAUCACAAUCAUCACUAAGAAAGAGACAGAGGUCAUCCCUAUUGAACUUAAGGCUACUGUAGAUCAAUUUUCCAUAGUUUUCUUAGAACCUAAAUGUUUAUCACCAUCUAGGUUCAAUAACCAUCAUAUUCCAUUGAAAGAAAGGGCUCAGCCCUUUAAAAUCAGGCCUUAUAAGUACCCAUACAUUCAGAAAGCAGAGAUUGAAAGGAUGGUUAGGAAGAUGAGAAAAAGUGGUAUAAUACAACCAAACAACAGCCCUUAUGCCUCACUCGUGUUAUUGGUCAUGAAGAAAGAUGGGAUAUGGAGAUUUUGUCUUGAUCAUAAAUAGUUGAAUACCCUCAUAGUCAAGGACAAGUACCCUAUGUCCUUAAUUGAUGAAUUGUUGGAUGAACUUAAAGGGGCAAAGUGGUUUACAAAAAUCGACCUAAGAGCAGGAUACCAUCAAAUCAGGGUGGCUGAAAAAGAUGUCCACAAGAUAACUUUUAAGACCUAUGAGGGUCUUUAUGAAUUUAGGGUCAUGCUAUUUGGGCUUACAAAUGCCCCUGCCCCUGCUACUUUUCAAUGCCUAAUGAACGAAGUAUUCAAGCAGCACUUAUGUAGUACAUUUUUGUUUUUAUUUUAUUUUAUGAUAUACUGGUAUAUAGCCCAGACUUGAAGAAACAUUGUAAACAUGUUACUGCUGUCUUAGAACUUUUAUAUUAACACCAAUUGUAUGCUAAGAGGAACAAGUGCUCUUUUAGCCAAUCUAUCAUAGAGUACUUAGGCCACACUAUAUCCGCAGAGGGAGUGUCAGCAAAUCCCUCUAAGAUAGUGGCAAUGCAGGAAUGGCCUAAGCCAGCUAAUGUUGAAUAGUUAAAAGGAUUCCUUGGCUUAACUCGGUAUUACACAAGGUUCGUAAGGGGAUAUGGAGCCAUAGCAAAGCCACUAAUUGAAUUACUAAAGAAGGAGAACUUCUAUUGGGGGAGGCUGCUGAAUCAGCUUUUCAAGAAUUAAAGCAUGCUAUGAGUACCACCCUAGUACUGGCUUUACCAUAUUUCUCUAGCCCGUUCAUUGUGGAAAUAGAUGCAUGCUAUGCGGGGUUAGGUGCAAUGCUAAUGCAGAACAAGAGGCCAAUAGCAUACCUAAGUAAAGGAAAUAGCAACAGGAAUUUAGGGUUAUCAAUUUAUGAGAAUGAACUGUUAACUCUGGUGACUGCGGUAGGAGAGUGGAGGUACUGUUUAGAAGGUCACCACUUUAUCAUUAAGAUAGAUCAUCAGUCACUCAAGUCCUUACUUGAGCAAAGGAUCACUACUCCAUUAUAGCAGAAGUGGCUAUCUAAACUCUUGGGACUGAGUUAUGAAAUACAUUAUAAAAAGGGUGUUGAUAACAGAUGGCAGAUGCCUUGUCCAGGAGAGAAGAAAAGGCGGCUGAAUGCUUGGCAAUCACUGAGGUCACUUCCAUGUGGGUUGAAGAAGUAAUAGCUAGCUAUAAAGAAGAUUAGACGCAGAAGGUAAAAUCACUAUUGUGCUACUCUCUAAAGACAUUGAGCAAGAUUACCGGUACAUGAAUGGACUUCUCAAAUACAAGUCAAGAAUGUAUAUUGGUAUUGGGGAAGGAGUAAGGAAGAAGUUGAUUGCAACCAUACACUCAUCCCAGAAAGGGGGCACUCAGGAUUAUAGGCAAGUAUACACAGGGCCAAGUAAUUCUUCAUCUGGCCUGGGAUAAACAGGGAUAUUAAACAAAAGGUGUUGGAGUGUGACAAGUACCAAAGGUGUAAAGGGGAACAUGUAACUUACCUAGGAUUAAUUCAAUCCCUAUCAAUACGACAAUAUGCUUGGAGCCACAUUUCCAUGGACUUCAUUGAAAGGCUACCUACUUCUGGAUCAAAGAAUGUGAUAUUGGUGGUGGUGGACCGGUUCACCAAAUAUGCUCAUUUCUUAACUCUCUCACAUCCAUUCACAGCCCCAACCAUCGCCAAGUUAUUCCUGGAAAACAUCUACAAGUUGCAUGGAAUGCCUCAAAACAUUGUUACGGACAGAGAUAAGAUAUUUACAAAUGAGUUUUAUCAGGUAUUGUUCAAACACCUGAGGAUUAAAUUGUAGUUAAGCACAUCCUACCACCCACAAACUAAUGGGCAGAUAGAAAGACUAAACCAAUGCCUUGAAAUGUACCUAAGAUGCAUGGUUUACAAGUAACCAAAACAAUGGAUUAAGUGGAUUAGCCUAGCUGAAUGGUGGUACAGUACUACCCUGCGUACCUUUAUUCGAAUGACACCUUUUGAAGUCUUAUAUGGUAUCAAACCUUUACAACUAGCCUUGAGGCCCUAUCAGCAGACUAACAUUGCUUCAGUUGAAGAUAUUUUGCAAAAAAGGCAGAAGAUAAAUAAAUGCUAAAAGAAAACCUUGCCCAAGUCAGUGCCAAGAUGAAGUAUUAUGCAGAUCAACAUAGAAGUGAAAGGGAAUUCCAAGUCGGGGAUUGGGUAUAUUUAAAGCUUUAUCCAUAUGCUCAGUAAACUGUAACAAGGAGAUCCAACAAAAAGCUAUCUGCAAAGUAUUAUGGCCUUUACAAGGUAGUGCAAAAGGUUGGGAAGGUAGCCUAUAAACUAGAGUUACCUGCUGCAUCUCAAGUCCACCCCAUUUUUCGUGUUUCUCUACUGAAAAAGAAAAUUGGGGAGAAAGAAGUUCCAACUGGUGCACUAUCGGAAUUUUAUAGGGGCAAGGGACACACAUUCAACCACUACAAGUUCUAUCUACAACGAUGAUCAACCUAAAAUAGCAAAGCCAUUGCUUAAUGGCUAGUUCAUUGGGAAGGUUUCAACGCCGAUGAUGCUAUGUGGGCGAGAGCAAAUGAAAUAAAGGCUUUUUCCCCAAAUUUUCAAUCUUGGGGAUAAGGUUAUUCGAAUGGAGAGGGAUGUUAUGGUGAUGGUAGGAAGGGAAAGGAACAAUCGGGCUGGGAAGAAAAAGGGAAGAGAAGUACUAGACCAAGGAAGAAGGAAGAAGACGAAGUUCCAAUGGCCAACUUUAGAAUCCACAAAUGGUGUCAUUUGGUUAAAUGAGAUAUGUUUUCGUUUUUAUUUUUGAGUCUAAAAUUUUAAAUGGAUGCACGAUUUUGGGGGAAAGAGAGGUUGGUAUGCGUAAUUUCUCUCACGGAUUAUCUCUCCCUCUUUCUUUUUUCCUUUCUUAUCUACUGUAUUGUUCUCAUUUCAUAGUAUAAACAUCAGUAGCUUCAAUUAAUCCAUUGAGUGUUGAGUUUUAUUUAAUUUAUGGUUUAUUAUUGUGUUUGAUUGUGUCCUGGGUUGAGAUUUGAAGCACAACCAUAACAUAAUCUAGCGUCAUCAAUGGGAUACACCCA